GCAGUCGAGCGGAAGGCCCUUCGGGGUACUCGAGCGGCGAACGGGUGAGUAACACGUGAGCAACCUGCCCCAGGCUUUGGGAUAACCCCGGGAAACCGGGGCUAAUACCGAAUAUGACCUUGCACCGCAUGGUGUUUGGUGGAAAGUUUUUCGGCUUGGGAUGGGCUCGCGGCCUAUCAGCUUGUUGGUGGGGUGAUGGCCUACCAAGGCGACGACGGGUAGCCGGCCUGAGAGGGCGACCGGCCACACUGGGACUGAGACACGGCCCAGACUCCUACGGGAGGCAGCAGUGGGGAAUAUUGCACAAUGGGCGGAAGCCUGAUGCAGCGACGCCGCGUGAGGGAUGACGGCCUUCGGGUUGUAAACCUCUUUCAGCAGGGACGAAGCGUAAGUGACGGUACCUGCAGAAGAAGCGCCGGCCAACUACGUGCCAGCAGCCGCGGUAAGACGUAGGGCGCGAGCGUUGUCCGGAUUUAUUGGGCGUAAAGAGCUCGUAGGCGGCUUGUCGCGUCGACCGUGAAAACCUGGGGCUCAACCCCAGGCCUGCGGUCGAUACGGGCAGGCUAGAGUUCGGUAGGGGAGACUGGAAUUCCUGGUGUAGCGGUGAAAUGCGCAGAUAUCAGGAGGAACACCGGUGGCGAAAGCGGGUCUCUGGGCCGAUACUGACGCUGAGGAGCGAAAGCGUGGGGAGCGAACAGGAUUAGAUACCCUGGUAGUCCACGCUGUAAACGUUGGGCGCUAGGUGUGGGGGGCCUCUCCGGUUCCCUGUGCCGCAGCUAACGCAUUAAGCGCCCGCCUGGGGAGUACGGCCGCAAGGCUAAACUCAAAGGAAUUGACGGGGCCGCACAAGCGGCGGAGCAUGCGGAUUAUUUCGAU
Molecule: ribosomal RNA, 876 nt
Filed under: Micromonospora sp. WYP-37
Lineage: Bacteria; Bacillati; Actinomycetota; Actinomycetes; Micromonosporales; Micromonosporaceae
Description: bacterial SSU rRNA
Rfam family: Bacterial small subunit ribosomal RNA
Source: RNAcentral